Hirundo rustica (Barn swallow) is the source of this 708-nucleotide long non-coding RNA. RefSeq lists it as uncharacterized. NCBI's taxonomy places the organism in Eukaryota, Metazoa, Chordata, Aves, Passeriformes, Hirundinidae. The record is from RefSeq and is a predicted model, not a curated record. The transcript has 3 exons.
AAAGCUGGGAUGGCUGACCCCAACUGGCCUAAGGAAUAUUCCAUACCCUGUGGCAUCAUGCUCAGCAUAUAAAGCUGGAGGAAGACAAAGAAAGGUGGAAUAUUUGGAGGGUUGGCAUUUGUCUUCCCAAGCCACCAUCAUAUGAGGCGGAGCCCUGCUCUUCUGGAGAUGGCUGAAUAUCUGCUUGUCAAUAGACUGUGAUCCUGUGAAUGCCCUUAUCCCUGGAAAUAAGUAGAAGGACCACCUAAGAGGAUGAAGAACUGUGGUCAGUCUUCUUGGUACAAGACGAUCUUCUACAGAGUGUUUUGAAAUGCUUUGGCACUGCAAGUAGUACAUAAAAGCCAUUGGAAUGAAGUCUAUGAAAGUGGUUUAUCAUAAUUUUCUCUUGGAACAAUUAUGGCAAUUAGAUACACUGAUACUUUUGUAUCUUUAGAACCACAAUAUUUGGAGAGAAAUGAUUAGAAGGAGUUUCUUACUAGAAAUAGAUCUAAAACUAUGGGUUUGAUGACAUUCUUAGCUUAUUUGUGCUAUAAGCAAGAUAAUGAUGACAGAUAUCAAGGUCAGGGUAAUUACUUUCUAUAUUUGGAUUAGUAUUACCCUGGGUGUUAUACACAAACUAUCUACAAACAUCAGUCUAUUGCUGUCCUUCCUCAGGAACAGACUUUUCACUUUUACAUUAUGAGCUUUAAUGCAUGUGCCAAAAUAAUA